This 2470-nucleotide long non-coding RNA is filed under the name Nicotiana tabacum (common tobacco). Its description in RNAcentral is "long non-coding RNA (NTAB_LNC010477)". The record is from RNAcentral. Lineage: Eukaryota; Viridiplantae; Streptophyta; Magnoliopsida; Solanales; Solanaceae.
UCUGAUUAUGAUUAUUCUUCAGUUGUACCUGCAUUAGGCCCAGCUUCUAAGCUCCAAAUUAUCAUGCCAAUCAAGAAUGCCACUCAACUGAUACCGCAGGGAAUGUGAAAUGAAUUAGCAAGUGAGAAUUAUGAUUUUAAACAACUGAUACAAAUUAAUUAAACUGAAAUUCUGAUUUCACUUUUUCCAGCAUGCGUUUGAAUCAAGUCAGCUAUGUGAAAUGUCCGACAACAACUAUACAAGCCAUUGGGCUCAGCAGAUAAGUCCAAUGCAUCCAGCGUGCUAUCCUCUCUUGAAAAUGGCCCAGAAAUCUAAGGUUCCAUGGACCAAAGACUUGCAAAAACCCAAAAUUGGAAAUUAAGACUCAAAAUCAAGUCCGAUCCAACACCAAGGCCUCAACAAGCUAUCAGCUCUCCAAACAUUUCUAACAUCUCAUGCAUUGAUAACAAACAACAGUGGUUCAUACUUGCAAUUAAUUUCUAAAUUAUUCUCACAACAAAACAUAGGAAAUUUAAGCCCACUCAGACCAUUUAAAUGGCAGUUUUAACUAUGUAAAAUACUGCAAAACUUUCCAAAUUGCAAAGUAAGACCUUAAACUACAGGAACACUAACUUAACACACUCAAAUAACCUUCUAUUACAUCAUGUCUGACAAUUCACUCAUAUGAUAGAUCUCAAUCCUUAUUACAAUGCCGACAUUCUGAAUUUAAACCUCUAUUCUAAAUAGCCAACACAGCCUUAAACCAAUAGCAUGAACAAGCGAACCAACACAUGCAAAUAAAAUUAAGUUACUAUAGAACUGGGGAAUUUACUAACAUAAGAUAACCAAAUCUAGCAGUAAUUACAACAAGAGAUGGUGUUUUCAUUUAAAUUCCAACUCAAGUUUCCAGAUCUUUACAUAAAUUCAGUCAGGCUUCAAUUCCAUGACAGUCUCAAAGGCAUGUCUGAAAAUUGCAAAGGAAAAAGAAGUGAAGGAUUGGCAGUAAACAGUAGAACAAAAGCACAGCAGUAUCAAUGCAACAGUGUCGUUGCAGCAGCUUGAAACCCUGUCUUUAAACCCAAAAUCAAACCACUUCCCAACCCAGGUGCAAGAUGUAAAAAAUUUCAGAGAUUUUAACUAAUGAAGAAGAUCAGAGACCUCUAGCUAAUACAAAAUUUGAUCAGUUUUAUCAAAGAAAAUUGGUGGAAAUUAGUGUAGUUUCAGAAUUUUUCAGCUUUUUUGUUCUCUCAGAUUUUUUUUUCUUGAAUAGCAAGUCUUGGUACCUUUAUAGGCAAGGCACUAGGGAAGCUUAAAAUGAACCAUGUUUUGCACUUCUACCCUUUUUAUAUUUUGGUUUUUGCUUAUAUACCCCUAAUAUAAAAUUCAGAAUUUCAAAAUAGUCCCAAACCCCCUUUCCUGGAAGCUUCCUAUUCAGUUACUACAAAUUCCCUCACCUAGAUUUCCUAAAUUACCCUCCAAUUCCCUCGUUUUUACUUUAGUCUCAACUAUCUAACCUUCAGCUCAUGGGUCAAUUUAAAUAGGACCCCAUCCAGACUAUGGGCCUGAAUACUAUAGCCCAGUUCCAUCAGCUUCAGGCCAUUAGCCAUUGAGCAUUGAGGCUAGAUGAACAAGGCUGUCUGGGCCAAAGAAAGAAAAGAAAAAGAAACAAGGGAGGCAGAGAACUGAGUCCAGAGAACUUAAACGAUUCCAACAAAACAAAAAAACAAACUCAAUUAACCUAUCAGCAAUUAUGAACCAGGAAAAUGAAUUCAAACAAAACAACCAAACGGGCUACUUAAUAGCAUAUGGCCCCAAAAGAACUUAAACGAUUUUAAUACUAACUAUGAACACCAACCGAAUUAAUUCUAACCCUUCUAACAAAAUUUAAACAAUAUUAACUCAUGACUACUACUUAACAAGACUAGUUAGAAACAGAAACAGAGGGACAAGAAAAGAAAAGGAAAGAAUAAAGAUGGAGUAGAAAUAGAAUAUGAAAAGACAUGGUCAAGGAAUACCUAAGGUCGGAGACCAAUGGCUUGAGAGACUUGUCCGGCAACCUCCGAUUCGACCCAAAACUGGUAUUAGUCGCAUGUUCUCUUUGAGAACAAACGAACAAUGCUAGUUCCAGGCCCGAUCAUUCAUGGAAACUUGAAAGCUUUAAAGGCCUCCUUUUCUUUGUUUUUAGAUCUGCAACUGACCCGAUUUGGUGAGGAUUUGGGGGGAGAAGGCGAUGGAUUGGGACUCAAGGACGAACAAUGGUUGUAUGGUUAGAUUUUGGUGGUGUUUGGAAAAGGUUAGGUUGUUGGUCUAGUUUUUGAUUUAAGAUUCGAGACGAACCAGUGGGAUUCGAAGGACAUAGGUUAGGAAUUUGGGAAGAGGAGAUGAAGGAGGUCUUGGGGUGUAUUUUUUGUGGCGUUUGGAGGCGGCUGCUAGGGUUCAGGGCUUGGUCUCUGAAGGGUGAAUUGGGAGAGGCGAGUGAGGGGUGGGGGGG